This 21-nucleotide non-coding RNA is filed under the name Caenorhabditis elegans. The record is from RNAcentral. Lineage: Eukaryota; Metazoa; Nematoda; Chromadorea; Rhabditida; Rhabditidae.
UGUUCAAAUCAUUCAAAAUAA